UUAUGUUAUUUAUUUAAAUUUAUAUUUAAAAAGUUUUAUUCUAACUUAAUAAUUAGCUUUUAAGAAUUGUAUAUAUGGAAAGAAUAGUUUUUAAAUAAAUUGGUUUUUUCAGUGUAAAGUUUUUUGAAUUUAAGUAAUUUUAGAUCUAGAAAUUUUUUAUUUAAGGUAAACAAAAUUUGUGCCAGCAGUAGCGGUUAUACAGAUUAUUUAAGUUAAUUUUCUUUAAUUUAAUUAAUUGUGCAAGUAAAUUUAAAAAUAAAUUUUUAAGGUGAAAUUUAAAAUUUAUGUAAAAAUUAAGAUUUUUGAUUUUUGAGUUUUAAGAAAUUUUUAUUUGAAACUAGGAUUAGAUACCCUAUUAUUAAAAAUGUGAAUUUAUAUAAUUAAAGUUAUUAAUAGUUAUGGUCUUUAAAAUUUAAGAUUUUGGUAGUAUUUUAGUCUAUUUAGAGGAACCUGUUUAAUAAUCGAUUCUCCACGGUUAAAUUGACUUUUUAUUUAAAUUUGUAUAUCGUCGUAGUGAAAUAUUUUAUUAGGAAAUAAAUAUUUAAAUUUUAGAAUGAAAAAAGAAAUCAGAUCAAGGUACAGUUUAUUAAAAUGAAUAAGUGGGUUACAAUUAAUUUAUUAAUUUUGAAUUAUAGAGUUAAUUUUUUAUUUGAAAUUGGAUUUAAAAGUAAUUUUUUUUAAUUUAAAAAAAAUGAUUUUGCUCUAAAAUAUGCACAUAUUGCCCGUCGCUUUCAGUUUAAAUUGAAAUAAGUCGUAACAAAGUAGGUUUAUUGGAAAAUGAACCUAGAAAU
Molecule: ribosomal RNA, 791 nt
Filed under: Osphya sp. n.
Lineage: Eukaryota; Metazoa; Arthropoda; Insecta; Coleoptera; Melandryidae
Description: 12S ribosomal RNA
Source: RNAcentral